UUUUCAUUGGAGAGUUUGAUCCUGGCUCAGGACGAACGCUGGCGGCGUGCUUAACACAUGCAAGUCGAACGGAAAGGCCCUGCUUUUGUGGGGUGCUCGAGUGGCGAACGGGUGAGUAACACGUGAGUAACCUGCCCUUGACUUUGGGAUAACUUCAGGAAACUGGGGCUAAUACCGGAUAGGAGCUCCUGCUGCAUGGUGGGGGUUGGAAAGUUUCGGCGGUUGGGGAUGGACUCGCGGCUUAUCAGCUUGUUGGUGGGGUAGUGGCUUACCAAGGCUUUGACGGGUAGCCGGCCUGAGAGGGUGACCGGCCACAUUGGGACUGAGAUACGGCCCAGACUCCUACGGGAGGCAGCAGUGGGGAAUAUUGCACAAUGGGCGGAAGCCUGAUGCAGCAACGCCGCGUGCGGGAUGACGGCCUUCGGGUUGUAAACCGCUUUCGCCUGUGACGAAGCGUGAGUGACGGUAAUGGGUAAAGAAGCACCGGCUAACUACGUGCCAGCAGCCGCGGUGAUACGUAGGGUGCGAGCGUUGUCCGGAUUUAUUGGGCGUAAAGGGCUCGUAGGUGGUUGAUCGCGUCGGAAGUGUAAUCUUGGGGCUUAACCCUGAGCGUGCUUUCGAUACGGGUUGACUUGAGGAAGGUAGGGGAGAAUGGAAUUCCUGGUGUAGCGGUGGAAUGCGCAGAUAUCAGGAGGAACACCGAUGGCGAAGGCAGGUCACUGGGCCACUACUGACGCUGAGGAGCGAAAGCAUGGGGAGCGAACAGGAUUAGAUACCCUGGUAGUCCACGCUGUAAACGGUGGGUACUAGGUGUGGGGUCCAUUCCACGGGUUCCGCGCCGUAGCUAACGCUUUAAGUACCCCGCCUGGGGAGUACGGCCGCAAGGCUAAAA
RNAcentral lists this ribosomal RNA (892 nucleotides) under Xanthomonas citri pv. citri. RNAcentral describes it as "bacterial SSU rRNA". It matches the Rfam family "Bacterial small subunit ribosomal RNA", at positions 1 to 899 of the family's 1533-position model. Lineage: Bacteria; Pseudomonadati; Pseudomonadota; Gammaproteobacteria; Lysobacterales; Lysobacteraceae. The record is from RNAcentral.